Tarenaya hassleriana is the source of this 2218-nucleotide long non-coding RNA. RefSeq lists it as uncharacterized. The transcript is spliced from 2 exons. Lineage: Eukaryota; Viridiplantae; Streptophyta; Magnoliopsida; Brassicales; Cleomaceae. The record is from RefSeq and is a predicted model, not a curated record.
AUAACUUUCUGGGCUUUUCCUUCUCUCUCUAUCGGCUCUAUCGAAAACCCUAGAUUUGUUCUGCAAAAUGGUCUCUGAAAAAUCACUUCUUUUCUUCUUUGGAGCAUUAGAUCGGGUGUUUUCUUCAAUGGGUAGAUCGACCCAGAUCUAACCAAACUGAAAUUACCGAACUUUUCGUGUUCUUGUUCUUGUGCUUGUCUUCCUAUUGUUUAAAGUCUGAAUCUUUUCAGUGAGGUGAGUUAUGAUUUUGGGAACAAACUGAAUCUGACAGAAGAGAGUGAGCACACAAAGGCACUUGCAUGUUUAUGCAUUUGCUUCUCUUGCGUGCUCACUCCUCUUUCUGUCAGAUUCCGACACCGGAUUCUCGUUUCCUCGGUUUUUGUCCCGAUCUCUCUCUCUCUGUUCUUGCAAUUUGUUUUUAUGUUCUUCGUUUGAUUUGAAUGCUUAUAUCGUUUGUAGAUUUGGUUAAGCUAUCUGCAUCCGGUCCUUCUGCGUUAUAUUUCAUGAGAAUAAUAGUAUCUGAGAAGCUUAAAUCUAUGACUCUAAGGCAUGGCUUUAACCUUGCAGGUUCACGAUGAAAUUGGCAUGGGACCAUUAAACGUUAAACUAGUUUUAUUAGGCUGGUCCUAACCCUUUUGUGAGUCUAUAAUUUCUCGAUAUUCAUGUAAUAUUAUAUGCUUUCUUCACCACUCUUUUAACCCGAUUUGCUUUGAUUCAAAUAUAUUUUCCUUGGCUCAUGUGAUAUUGUCUCAUGUGUAGGCAUGAAUCUUUCAAGCUCAUGAUCUUCGCACUUUGAAUGGGUGGUGUCUUUUCUGAUUAUUUAUUAAUGUUACAUGUCGAUUCCAUGAUGUAUCUAAUUAUAAGUUUCUUAUUGACAUUGAAAAGUGUCCAUCUUUGAUUUCAUGUGAUCACGUUUAAGGAUGCAUGUGAAUGAAUCUUGUGAGAAUAUUCUUAGAAAACGCGUGUUCUUAUAGCAUCUCAAUCACCAUAACAUAUACAGACAUCUUGCAUGCCUACACAUGCCCAUGUCAUGUGUGCAUGUUUGUAUGUUCUUGAAUCAUGUAGUAUAUGUUUUUUCUUUGGUUCCUUACAAAGCUAUAUACAUUUAUGUAGUAUAUGUCAUUCACAAUGUUAGUUAGCAGUUUUUUUGGUGUCAUGAAAUCAAACAAGAAUUUGGUUCUCUCUAGUUUAUAUUUUCUUGUGAUUUUUGCAUAUUUUUCAUACGUAUACAUAAAUGAUAUUCUUUUUCCGUGUGUAGAUGUUUUUCAAAGACGUUUAAUCCAAUGAAUGUGAGUGAAAUUGGUUGUGUUAUCAAAUGAAUGAGAUUUGCAUAUUUGUUAUACAUGUAUAUAACUUUAUCAUAAAUGGUAAGGUUCUCUCAUACAAACCUUAUCAUUCAACAUAUCUUAACUUUGUGGUAUUGCUAAUUUCUAUAUAAUUUACAUAUGUAGAUGUAAUAUAUAGGUGUACUGUUUGCUUGUGACUUCUAUAUAUUAUUAACUGUAUAUGUUUUCAAAUUCUGAAAUUCGAGGCCGGUAUGUGUGGACAUGUUCCGAAAUAAACUUUGGGUCAAGGCGAUAUUAAUUGAUGUUGUAUGUGCACUUGUUGUAAUUUCCUUGUUUUGGCUUCGUUUGUUCCUGUUUAUUUCUUGGCAACUUAUAAAGUGAUUGUGCAAAUCACCCAAAGUGUUCACACUAUGUCUUUGGUCCUUAAAGAGUUGUCAUGUCGUUGAAUUGCCGCGUGCAUGCUGCUUUGCCUUGCGUUGGGGAAGCCUUAUAUGAAUUGGGUUCGGUACUUGUGAUGUAUAUAUGUGAUGGUUGAGGGAGCAAGGGUGUAUCUUGAAUUGAUUCGUUAUAAUAUGGAAGGAGAAUAGAUGACAUCUAUUUUUGUUCAAGAGUUUGAUGUUAAAUGAUUCAACUUUGCCAAUUUGGACCGAUAUUUGAUUCUUGAUAUUGUUACAUUUUGUAGAAUACUACUUUCUUUCCCUCUUUUUGAAUCGAGAUGGCCAACAUCAUUGGCAAACACAUGAUAUACGUAUGCGUGUACAUACGUAUGUGUACUUUUGAUUCCCACCUUGAAUCUUGCAUCGGUUGUGUAAUAGACUAUAACGUGAGACCGGUGAAUUUAUUUCCAUAUCCGAAAGGUCGUGGGUUCUCAAUAAAUCUUACUGUCAUGUAAAAAAAAGUCUUUAGAACAUGAACUUCUACUAGUUUAUCUA